GGCGGCCUUUUAGCCAUUGUUUCGUUUGAUUUGAAUUCAAGUUGUCCCGUCCCGUGUGUUAAAAAUGUUCAAAUCGACGGCACUUUGGUUAGAUCGACGCGUUGACGUGUGAGUGGCGAAUUGAAUGUUUGUGAUGGCUGGCUCCCUGCUUGCGCAGCGAACGGUUGUCGCAUACAUUUUUCAGUUGGAUCAGUGACGUAUUUGUGGGAUUUUUGUGUUGCCAACCCGAAUGAUGGAAUAUUCUUAUGACCCAGUUGCGUUAGCUUUGCCGAGCGCCCCUUGUGGCGCUAGGCGGACGGUUAUGCUGCCCCUUUUUUCGGCCAUGCUCUUCCCUUUUCGGGAACCAUGGAAAAUUAUGUGGUAUCGCUUGUUGCCUCGGAUGCGGAGCACGAAGCGGGCAUGAUGCCUUUCAUCAUUUGCUCAUUCGGAGCUCUCGAUUGCUCGGAAAGAGAGACUGUCGCGCUUGGUUUUGGCUGUUGACUCGUCGAACCAGCUCAAAACCUCGCCGAUGUCUUCAACGAAUGCUACCUGGUUGAUCCUGCCAGUAGUCAUAUGCUUGUCUCAAAGAUUAAGCCAUGCAUG
RNAcentral lists this unclassified non-coding RNA (582 nucleotides) under Graptopetalum pachyphyllum. RNAcentral describes it as "partial external transcribed spacer and 18S ribosomal RNA". The stretch from base 526 to 582 matches the Rfam family "Eukaryotic small subunit ribosomal RNA", at positions 1 to 57 of the family's 1831-position model. The record is from RNAcentral. Lineage: Eukaryota; Viridiplantae; Streptophyta; Magnoliopsida; Saxifragales; Crassulaceae.